Molecule: ribosomal RNA, 1170 nt
Filed under: Saccharomyces cerevisiae (brewer's yeast)
Lineage: Eukaryota; Fungi; Ascomycota; Saccharomycetes; Saccharomycetales; Saccharomycetaceae
Source: RNAcentral
AUGAAAUUAAAAUUAUUAAAUAUAAUUUUAUCAAUAAUAAAUAAACUUAAUAAUAAUAAUAAUAUUAUUAUUAAUAAUCUAUUAGAUUCAUUAAUAAAUAAGAAAUUAUUAUUAAAGAAUAUAUUAUUAGAUAUAAAUAAUAAAAAAAUAAAUAAUAUAAAAAGAAUAUUAAAUAAUAAUAAUAUAAAUAUUAAUAAUAAAUUACAACAUUUAAAUAAUAUAAAUAAUUGAAAUCUACAAAUUUAUAAUUAUAAUAAAAAUAUAGAAAUUAUAAAUACUAUAAAUGAUAAAUUAAUUAAUAAAUUAUUAUAUAAAAUAAUAACUUUAAAAUUAAAUAAUAUAAAUAUUAAUAAAAUUAUUAUAAGUAAACUUAUUAAUCAACAUAGUUUAAAUAAAUUAAAUAUUAAAUUUUAUUAUUAUAAUAAUGAUAUUAAUAAUAAUAAUAAUAAUAAUAAUAAUAAUAAUAAUUAUUAUAUAAAUAUAAUAAAUAAAUUAAUAAAUAUUAUAAAUAAUAAUAUAAAUAAUAAUUUAUGUAAUAUUUUAAGUUAUUAUUAUAAUAAAAAAGUAACUAUUGAACCUAUUAAAUUAUCAUAUAUUUAUUUAAAUAGUGAUAUUUUUAGUAAAUAUAUUAGUUUAAAUGAUAUAGAUAAAUAUAAUAAUGGUAUCUUAACUAAUUAUCAACGUAUAUUAAAUAAUAUUAUGCCUAAAUUAAAUGAUCAUAAUAUUUCUAUAAAUUAUAUUAAUAAUAUUAAUAAUAUUAAUAAUAAUAAAUAUAAUAAUAUAAUUAAUUUAUUAAAUAAUAAUAAUUAUAAUAAUAAUAAUAAUAUUAAUAAUAAUAAUAAUUAUAAUAAUAAUAAUAAUAAUUAUAUUGGUAAUAUUAAUAAUAUUUAUAAUAAUAUAACUAUUGAUAAUAUUCCUAUAGAUAUUUUAAUAUAUAAAUAUUUAGUUGGUUGAUCUAUUAAAUUUAAAGGUAGAUUAAGUAAUAAUAAUGGUAGAACUAGUACACUUAAUUUAUUAAAUGGUACUUUUAAUAAUAAAAAAUAUUUAUGAAGUAAUAUUAAUAAUAAUUAUAAAUUAAAUUAUAUCCCUUCUAAUCAUAAUUUAUAUAAUAAUUCUAAUAUUAAUAAAAAUGGUAAAUAUAAUAUUAAAGUUAAAUUAAACUUUAUUUAA